UCCGGAGUAGCUCAGCGGUAGAGCAGGCGACUGUUAAUCGCCUGGCCGUAGGUUCGAUUCCUACCUCCGGAGCCA
This 75-nucleotide transfer RNA is filed under the name Reyranella sp. Its description in RNAcentral is "tRNA-Asn". It matches the Rfam family "tRNA". Rfam says of the family: Transfer RNA (tRNA) molecules are approximately 80 nucleotides in length. Their secondary structure includes four short double-helical elements and three loops (D, anti-codon, and T loops). The record is from RNAcentral. Lineage: Bacteria; Pseudomonadati; Pseudomonadota; Alphaproteobacteria; Hyphomicrobiales; Reyranellaceae. RNAcentral also lists the same sequence under 6 other names.